Molecule: long non-coding RNA, 1216 nt
Organism: Heterocephalus glaber (naked mole-rat)
Lineage: Eukaryota; Metazoa; Chordata; Mammalia; Rodentia; Bathyergidae
Source: Ensembl
CUUUACUUUUAGAAGAAUGAUUUUGAAAGGGCUUCAGGGUUUUACUGUUGGUUGCUUCUCAAAGAGACUGAGAACCCAGGACCUGUACUGUCAUCCUGGAGCCCAAGAUUUUGAGUGAAGGCUCAUCCAUCACCCCAGACAUCUCUUCAGCAUUGUUUGAACACUCAUCAUUGCCCUGGCAAAGCUGUAGCAUGUUCUUGUCUAGCAAGAGCCUUGGGCAUAAUGAGGUUGAGUAUCUCCUGGCCAAGCAGACCCCAGAAUCACAUGGUAAUUAGGGUUUGGUGGCUAAAGGAAAGGAUUAGGGUGCAAGGAAAAGUCUAGCUUGAAGUUCUGAACCUGGGUCCUCCCCAGGCUGCUGUCUGAAAAGAAAGUAAUGUUGAAUUGGAAAAUUAAUGCUCUCUUUGUGUUUCUAACUUUCCAUUUAUUUCUUUGGCUAUGGGCUGAGGAAUACUGGCAGGCUUAGAAGAUAUACAUAGAGCAUGACAGAAGCAAUCUUUCCAAGCAGCCAUGUCAAGGAGGAGCUGGAAAGAUGAGAAAACUGAAGCUGAAAGACAUCAAGUGACUAAUCUAAAAUCCUACAUUGAGUGGGGGGAAAUUGAAAACAGGCUAUUUUUUCUCCUUUUGCUUUAAAAAUUGUAUUUUGAUUUAUAAAACUUUGUAAACAAUAUUGACGCCCAGGGGCACAGCUUAAAAUCAUGAAUCAUUGCUCAGCCUGCAUAAAGUAAUAUCAGGUUUCACUAAAGCAAUGAAUAUUUUUAAGGCUCUACUGACGGUGUGCUGGAGUUUCCUUUUAGUACUUACAUUCUAGUGGGGAGAUGGACAGUGAAAUAAGUAGACAACAAACUACAGACUGCGAGAAGCAUUACUAAGGAAAUACUAGAAUAACAAACGGUGCCCCACCAUAGACUGGUGGCCCAGGAAAGGCUGCUCUGAGAUGGCUUACAAGAAGGUAGGAAAAGAAGCGGCCUGGCAUUGAGAGGAGAGGGAGGGAAGGUGGGAAGAGAGGAUUCCUGGCCAAAGGAUCCAAAACCAGAGAGGCUCCAAGUCAGCAAAGAGAAGCGCUUGGCGUCGCGCGGGGGGAAUUGGAAGUCGACCAGUUCAGCUGUAGCAAGGUUUUGAGGGCCAGUCUUGAAAAAACAGGAGCUCCCUUGUGCUGGGCACCCUUAACCGUAGAAAGGUGGAUUUUUCAGUAUGACAAGGCGCUAUUAAAGAGUUU